CUUCUAGGUAUAUCCUUAAGCUAAAUUUAAACAUUAUUAUGAUCACAUUUCCCACCUGAUGAGUUCCCCUAACGCGAGAUGGAUUCACAGUCUGUCUCAAACUUGUGGUGUCUAACUUAUGCAUGGGCAGGUUGAAUCAACUGGUUAAAGGCCAGCGCAAGACCAACCAGCCUAAUAAAAUAGCUAGCCGGAACUGACCCCAUCAGCAACAACAUGACCAAGAAAGCCCACCUAAAGACCC
Molecule: long non-coding RNA, 241 nt
Filed under: Elaeis guineensis (African oil palm)
Lineage: Eukaryota; Viridiplantae; Streptophyta; Magnoliopsida; Arecales; Arecaceae
Description: long non-coding RNA (EGUI_LNC006925)
Source: RNAcentral